Molecule: ribosomal RNA, 796 nt
Filed under: uncultured Glomus
Lineage: Eukaryota; Fungi; Glomeromycota; Glomeromycetes; Glomerales; Glomeraceae
Description: SSU rRNA
Rfam family: Eukaryotic small subunit ribosomal RNA
Source: RNAcentral
AACUUUCGAUGGUAGGAUAGAGGCCUACCAUGGUGGUAACGGGUAACGGGGUGUUAGGGCACGACACCGGAGAGGGAGCCUGAGAAACGGCUACCACAUCCAAGGAUGGCAGCAGGCGCGCAAAUUACCCAAUCCCGACACGGGGAGGUAGUGACAAUAAAUAACAAUACGGGGUUCUUUUGGAUUUCGUAAUUGGAAUGAGUACAAUUUAAAUCUCUUAACGAGGAACAAUUGGAGGGCAAGUCUGGUGCCAGCAGCCGCGGUAAUUCCAGCUCCAAUAGCGUAUAUUAAAGUUGUUGCAGUUAAAAAGCUCGUAGUUGAAUUUCGGGGUUAGUAGAUCGGUCGUGCCACUGGUAUGUACUGGUCUCACUGAUUCCUCCUUCCUGAUGAACCGUAAUGCCAUUAAUUUGGUGUUGCGGGGAGACUGGACUGUUACUUUGAAAAAAUUAGAGUGUUUAAAGCAGGCUAACGCUUGAAUACAUUAGCAUGGAAUAACGGAAUAGGACGUUCGAUCUUAUUUUGUUGGUUUCUAAGAUUGACGUAAUGAUUAAUAGGGAUAGUUGGGGGCAUUAGUAUUCAAUUGUCAGAGGUGAAAUUCUUGGAUUUAUUGAAGACUAACUACUGCGAAAGCAUUUGCCAAGGAUGUUUUCAUUAAUCAAGAACGAAAGUUAGGGGAUCGAAGACGAUCAGAUACCGUCGUAGUCUUAACCAUAAACUAUGCCGACUAGGGAUCGGAUGAUGUUAAUUUUUUAAUGACUCAUUCGGCGCCUUACGGGAAACCAAAGUGUUUGGGUUC